GAAAAGAAACCAACAGGGAUUGCCUCAGUAACGGCGAGUGAAGCGGCAAAAGCUCAAAUUUGAAAUCUGGCCCUUUUAGGGUCCGAGUUGUAAUUUGUAGAGGAUGUUUCGGGCAAGGCCUCGGUUUAAAUUCCUUGGAACAGGAUAUCAGAGAGGGUGAGAGUCCCGUCUUGAACCGUCGGUCGCGUCCAUGUGAAACUCCUUCGACGAGUCGAGUUGUUUGGGAAUGCAGCUCUAAAUGGGAGGUAAAUUUCUUCUAAAGCUAAAUAUUGGCCAGAGACCGAUAGCGCACAAGUAGAGUGAUCGAAAGAUGAAAAGCACUUUGAAAAGAGAGUUAAACAGUAUGUGAAAUUGUUGAAAGGGAAGCGUUUGCAACCAGACUUGUUUUUAACGGUUCCACCACGGUUCUCCGUGGUCUAUUCCGUUAUCGCAGGCCAGCAUCGGUUCGGGUGGUUAGUUAAAGGCUUUGGGAAUGUAUCAACGCUUCGGGGUUGACUUAUAGCCCAUCGUGUAAUGUGACCUACCCGGACCGAGGUACGCGUUCAUUCUCGGAUGCUGGCGUAAUGGUUGUAAACGACCCGUCUUGAAACACGGACCAAGGAGUCUAACAUCUAUGCGAGUGUUCGGGUGUUAAACCCUUACGCGUAAUGAAAGUGAACGGAGGUAGGAACCGCAAGGUGCACUAUCGACCGAUCCUGAUGUCUUCGGAUGGAUUUGAGUAAGAGCAUAGCUGUUGGGACCCGAAAGAUGGUGAACUAUGCCUGAAUAGGGUGAAGCCAGAGGAAACUCUGGUGGAGGCUCGCAGCGGUUCUGACGUGCAAAUCGAUCGUCAAAUUUGGGUAUAGGGGCGAAAGACUAAUCGAAUC
Molecule: ribosomal RNA, 866 nt
Filed under: Xenocylindrosporium kirstenboschense
Lineage: Eukaryota; Fungi; Ascomycota; Eurotiomycetes; Phaeomoniellales; Phaeomoniellaceae
Description: eukaryotic LSU rRNA
Rfam family: Eukaryotic large subunit ribosomal RNA
Source: RNAcentral